AGCGUAUAUUAAAGUUGUUGCAGUUAAAAAGCUCGUAGUUGAAUUUCGGGAUUAGUACGCUGGUCGUGCCUUCGGUACGUACUGGUGUUACUGAUUCCUACCUUCUGACGAACCAUCAUGUCAUUAAUUUGGUGUGGUGGGGAAUCAGGACUGUUACUUUGAAAAAAUUAGAGUGUUUAAAGCAGGCUCGCGCUUGAAUACAUUAGCAUGGAAUAAUGAAAUAGGACGUUGAUCCUAUUUUGUUGGUUUCUAGGAUUGACGUAAUGAUUAAUAGGGAUAGUUGGGGGCAUUAGUAUUCAAUUGUCAGAGGUGAAAUUCUUGGAUUUAUUGAAGACUAACUACUGCGAAAGCAUUUGCCAAGGAUGUUUUCAUUAAUCAAGAACGAAAGUUAGGGGAUCGAAGACGAUCAGAUACCGUCGUAGUCUUAACCAUAAACUAUGCCGACUAGGGAUCGGAUGAUGUUAUUUUUAAUGACUCAUUC
This 481-nucleotide ribosomal RNA is filed under the name uncultured Glomeromycotina. RNAcentral describes it as "SSU rRNA". It matches the Rfam family "Eukaryotic small subunit ribosomal RNA", at positions 596 to 1081 of the family's 1831-position model. The record is from RNAcentral. Lineage: Eukaryota; Fungi; Glomeromycota.